AACGAACGCUGGCGGCAUGCCUAACACAUGCAAGUCGAACGAGCCCUUCGGGUCUAGUGGCGCACGGGUGCGUAACGCGUGGGAACCUGCCCUUAGGUUCGGCAUAACUCCCCGAAAGGGGUGCUAAUACCGGAUAAUGUCUUCGGGCCAAAGAUUUAUCGCCUUUGGAUGUGCCCGCGUUGGAUUAGCUAGUUGGUAGGGUAAAAGCAUACCAAGGCGACGAUCCAUAGCUGGUCUGAGAGGAUGAUCAGCCACACUGGGACUGAGACACGGCCCAGACUCCUACGGGAGGCAGCAGUGGGGAAUAUUGGACAAUGGGCGAAAGCCUGAUCCAGCAAUGCCGCGUGAGUGAUGAAGGCCUUAGGGUUGUAAAGCUCUUUUACCCGGGAUGAUAAUGACAGUACCGGGAGAAUAAGCUCCGGCUAACUCCGUG
This 433-nucleotide ribosomal RNA is filed under the name uncultured bacterium. Its description in RNAcentral is "partial 16S ribosomal RNA". It matches the Rfam family "Bacterial small subunit ribosomal RNA", at positions 29 to 507 of the family's 1533-position model. The record is from RNAcentral.